RNAcentral lists this unclassified non-coding RNA (390 nucleotides) under fungal sp. RNAcentral describes it as "partial internal transcribed spacer region". The stretch from base 1 to 46 matches the Rfam family "Eukaryotic small subunit ribosomal RNA", at positions 1786 to 1831 of the family's 1831-position model. The record is from RNAcentral. Lineage: Eukaryota; Fungi.
AAGUCGUAACAAGGUUUCCGUAGGUGAACCUGCGGAAGGAUCAUUAACACGUAUCCACGUAUAUAAACAAACACGACGCACUGAACUCCCUUUCAUUCUAAGUCAAAGCUGUUGGUCAUGAUAUUAUAGUGGGUCUACCUCUUAACCUGGACUAGGCAUAUAUUGUGAGACUAUCACUCCCAUUCGUGGAGAGUGUGGCUGAGGAAUUGAAUGAAAGGCUUUCUCAUUUCCUAUGUGGCCAACCACUUUGGUCCCUGGAAAUGAUACCAUAUAAACAAUUUCACCCUAUUUUACCUAUUUGACUAAUAUACAUUCAGCAGAGAAAUCUGUCUGAAUACUAAGAUUUAUCUUAACUAAGCACAACUCUUAGCAAUGGAUAUCUUGGUUCUC